This 405-nucleotide ribosomal RNA is filed under the name uncultured Eubacteriales bacterium. RNAcentral's name for it is "uncultured Clostridiales bacterium partial 16S ribosomal RNA". It matches the Rfam family "Bacterial small subunit ribosomal RNA", at positions 355 to 774 of the family's 1533-position model. Lineage: Bacteria; Bacillati; Bacillota; Clostridia; Eubacteriales. The record is from RNAcentral.
UGGGGAAUAUUGCACAAUGGGCGCAAGCCUGAUGCAGCAACGCCGCGUGAAGGAUGACGGUCUUCGGAUUGUAAACUUCUUUAGGCAGGGACGAAAAAAAUGACGGUACCUGCAGAAUAAGCCCCGGCUAACUACGUGCCAGCAGCCGCGGUAAUACGUAGGGGGCAAGCGUUAUCCGGAAUUACUGGGUGUAAAGGGUGAGUAGGCGGUUUGUAAAGUCAUGUGUGAAAUCCCUAGGCUUAACUUAGGGGCUGCACAAGAAACUUAUGAACUAGAGUACAGGAGAGGUAAGCGGAAUUCCUAGUGUAGCGGUGAAAUGCGUAGAUAUUAGGAAGAACACCGGUGGCGAAGGCGGCUUACUGGACUGAAACUGACGCUGAGUCACGAAAGCGUGGGGAGCGAACA